RNAcentral lists this ribosomal RNA (461 nucleotides) under uncultured Actinomycetes bacterium. Its description in RNAcentral is "uncultured actinobacterium partial 16S ribosomal RNA". The record is from RNAcentral. Lineage: Bacteria; Bacillati; Actinomycetota; Actinomycetes.
CCGAUUUACGGCGGUGGACUACCAGGGUAUCUAAUCCUGUUCGCUCCCCACGCUUUCGCUCCUCAGCGUCAGUAACGGCCCAGAGAACUGCCUUCGCCAUCGGUGUUCCUCCUGAUAUCUGCGCAUUCCACCGCUACACCAGGAAUUCCGUUCUCCCCUACCGCACUCUAGUCUGCCCGUACCCACUGCAGGCUGGAAGUUGAGCUUCCAGUUUUCACAGCAGACGCGACAAACCGCCUACGAGCUCUUUACGCCCAAUAAUUCCGGACAACGCUUGCACCCUACGUAUUACCGCGGCUGCUGGCACGUAGUUAGCCGGUGCUUUUUCUGCAGGUACCGUCACUUUCGCUUCUUCCCUGCUAAAAGAGGUUUACAACCCGAAGGCCUUCAUCCCUCACGCGGCGUUGCUGCAUCAGGCUUGCGCCCAUUGUGCAAUAUUCCCCACUGCUGCCUCCCGUAGG